AAAUUUUGUCCUGCCUUUUUUUUAGCUGUAAUCUCUGUCCUGCCUUUUUAUUUUUUACUCUGUUCGGUCCUGCCUUUUUUUUUUUAGUUUAUCCUGACUUUUUCUUACCUAAAUUGUCAUCCUGACUUUUUUUUUUUUGCAAGUGUCUCAUCCUGCCUUUUUUUUUUUACUCAAAACUCCUGUCUUGCCUAUUUUUUUCAAUUUUCAUCCUAGCCCCCCCCCCCCCCCCCCCCAUAAAAAUCAAAUGGUAGCUCCCUAAGGGGUUAAAAAUAUACCAAAGUAGACUAUCACAGUAGAGCUUCUCUCGAAGAGUUUGAAAUCCUAUCAAUAAGGGGGUAAAAAUAUACCAAAGUCGACUAUCACAGUAGAGCUUCUCUCGAA
This 381-nucleotide long non-coding RNA is filed under the name Mytilus galloprovincialis (Mediterranean mussel). The record is from RNAcentral. Lineage: Eukaryota; Metazoa; Mollusca; Bivalvia; Mytilida; Mytilidae.